GACGUAGGGCGCGAGCGUUGUCCGGAUUUAUUGGGCGUAAAGAGCUCGUAGGCGGCUUGUCGCGUCGUCCGUGAAAACCUGCAGCUCAACUGCAGGCUUGCGGUCGAUACGGGCAGGCUGGAGUUCGGUAGGGGAGACUGGAAUUCCUGGUGUAGCGGUGAAAUGCGCAGAUAUCAGGAGGAACACCAAUAGCGAAGGCAGCUCGCUGGGACGGUACUGACGCUAAGGCGCGAAAGCGUGGGGAGCGAACAGG
RNAcentral lists this ribosomal RNA (253 nucleotides) under uncultured bacterium. RNAcentral describes it as "partial 16S ribosomal RNA". It matches the Rfam family "Bacterial small subunit ribosomal RNA", at positions 524 to 776 of the family's 1533-position model. The record is from RNAcentral.